ACUCUUGCUGCUUUGCUGACGAGUGGCGGACGGGUGAGUAAUGUCUGGGAAACUGCCUGAUGGAGGGGGAUAACUACUGGAAACGGUAGCUAAUACCGCAUAACGUCGCAAGACCAAAGAGGGGGACCUUCGGGCCUCUUGCCAUCGGAUGUGCCCAGAUGGGAUUAGCUAGUAGGUGGGGUAACGGCUCACCUAGGCGACGAUCCCUAGCUGGUCUGAGAGGAUGACCAGCCACACUGGAACUGAGACACGGUCCAGACUCCUACGGGAGGCAGCAGUGGGGAAUAUUGCACAAUGGGCGCAAGCCUGAUGCAGCCAUGCCGCGUGUAUGAAGAAGGCCUUCGGGUUGUAAAGUACUUUCAGCGGGGAGGAAGGGAGUAAAGUUAAUACCUUUGCUCAUUGACGUACCCGCAGAAGAAGCACCGGCUAACUCCGUGCCAGCAGCCGCGGUAAUACGGAGGGUGCAAGCGUUAAUCGGAAUUACUGGGCGUAAAGCGCACGCAGGCGGUUUGUUAAGUCAGAUGUGAAAUCCCCGGGCUCAACCUGGGAACUGCAUCUGAUACUGGCAAGCUUGAGUCUCGUAGAGGGGGGUAGAAUUCCAGGUGUAGCGGUGAAAUGCGUAGAGAUCUGGAGGAAUACCGGUGGCGAAGGCGGCCCCCUGGACGAAGACUGACGCUCAGGUGCGAAAGCGUGGGGAGCAAACAGGAUUAGAUACCCUGGUAGUCCACGCCGUAAACGAUGUCGACUUGGAGGUUGUGCCCUUGAGGCGUGGCUUCCGGAGCUAACGCGUUAAGUCGACCGCCUGGGGAGUACGGCCGCAAGGUUAAAACUCAAAUGAAUUGACGGGGGCCCGCACAAGCGGUGGAGCAUGUGGUUUAAUUCGAUGCAACGCGAAGAACCUUACCUGGUCUUGACAUCCACAGAACUUUCCAGAGAUGGAUUGGUGCCUUCGGGAACUGUGAGACAGGUGCUGCAUGGCUGUCGUCAGCUCGUGUUGUGAAAUGUUGGGUUAAGUCCCGCAACGAGCGCAACCCUUAUCCUUUGUUGCCAGCGGUCCGGCCGGGAACUCAAAGGAGACUGCCAGUGAUAAACUGGAGGAAGGUGGGAUGACGUCAAGUCAUCAUGGCCCUUACGACCAGGGCUACACACGUGCUACAAUGGCGCAUACAAAGAGAAGCGACCUCGCGAGAGCAAGCGGACCUCAUAAAGUGCGUCGUCUAAU
Molecule: ribosomal RNA, 1222 nt
Filed under: Escherichia coli
Lineage: Bacteria; Pseudomonadati; Pseudomonadota; Gammaproteobacteria; Enterobacterales; Enterobacteriaceae
Description: bacterial SSU rRNA
Rfam family: Bacterial small subunit ribosomal RNA
Source: RNAcentral